RNAcentral lists this ribosomal RNA (159 nucleotides) under Micrococcus luteus. RNAcentral's name for it is "partial 16S ribosomal RNA". It matches the Rfam family "Bacterial small subunit ribosomal RNA", at positions 1105 to 1264 of the family's 1533-position model. Lineage: Bacteria; Bacillati; Actinomycetota; Actinomycetes; Micrococcales; Micrococcaceae. The record is from RNAcentral.
UCGUUCMUGUUGCCAGCACGUCGUGGUGGGGACUCAUGGGAGACUGCCGGGGUCAACUCGGAGGAAGGUGAGGACGACGUCAAAUCAUCAUGCCCCUUAUGUCUUGGGCUUCACGCAUGCKACAAUGGCCGGUACAAUGGGUUGCGAUACUGUGAGGUG